GAGCGCCGUAGCAAUACGGAGCGGCAGACGGGAGAGUAACACGUGGGAACGUACCCUUUGGUUCGGAACAACCCAGGGAAACUUGGGCUAAUACCGGUAUAAGCCCUUACGGGGUAAAGAUUCAUCGCCGAAGGAUCGGCCCGCGUCUGAUUAGCUAGUUGGUGGGGUAAUGGCCCACCAAGGCGACGAUCAGUAGCUGGUCUGAGAGGAUGAUCAGCCUCACUGGGACUGAGACACGGCCCAGACUCCUACGGGAGGCAGCAGUGGGGAAUAUUGGACAAUGGGCGCAAGCCUGAUCCAGCCAUGCCGCGUGGGUGAUGAAGGCCCUAGGGUUGUAAAGCCCUUUCGGCGGGGAAGAUAAUGACGGUACCCGCAGAAGAAGCCCCGGCUAACUUCGUGCCAGCAGCCGCGGUAAU
RNAcentral lists this ribosomal RNA (416 nucleotides) under uncultured bacterium. RNAcentral's name for it is "bacterial SSU rRNA". It matches the Rfam family "Bacterial small subunit ribosomal RNA", at positions 64 to 524 of the family's 1533-position model. The record is from RNAcentral.